This 261-nucleotide long non-coding RNA is filed under the name Homo sapiens (human). Its description in RNAcentral is "non-protein coding lnc-MAP3K8-20:1". The record is from RNAcentral. Lineage: Eukaryota; Metazoa; Chordata; Mammalia; Primates; Hominidae.
AUGGCGACCGCCACGGAGCAGUGGGUUCUGGUGGAGAUGGUACAGGCGCUUUACAAGGCUCCUGCUUACCAUCUUAUUUUGGAAGGGAUUCUGAUACUCUGGAUAAUCAGACUUCUUUUCUCUAAGACUUACAAAUUACAAGAACGAUCUGAUCUUACAGUCAAGGAAAAAGAAGAACUGAUUGAAGAGUGGCAACCAGAACCUCUUGUUCCUCCUGUCCCAAAAGACCAUCCUGCUCUCAACUACAACAUCGUUUCAGGA